RNAcentral lists this transfer RNA (72 nucleotides) under Candidatus Pacearchaeota archaeon RBG_13_36_9. Its description in RNAcentral is "tRNA-Val". It matches the Rfam family "tRNA". Rfam says of the family: Transfer RNA (tRNA) molecules are approximately 80 nucleotides in length. Their secondary structure includes four short double-helical elements and three loops (D, anti-codon, and T loops). Lineage: Archaea; Nanobdellati. The record is from RNAcentral.
GGGCUUGUGGUUCAUCGGCAGAACGUCUCGUUCACGUCGAGAAGGUACAAGGUUCAAUUCCUUGCAGGCCCA